UUUAUCUCCUUCUCUCUCUCUCUCUCUCUCUCUCUAUAUAUAUAUAUAUAUAGAGAGAGAGAGAGAGAGAGAGAGAGAUAAA
This 82-nucleotide microRNA precursor is filed under the name Marmota monax (woodchuck). Lineage: Eukaryota; Metazoa; Chordata; Mammalia; Rodentia; Sciuridae. The record is from RNAcentral.